UGAGGAAUAUUGGUCAAUGGGCGCAAGCCUGAACCAGUCAUCCCGCGUGAAGGAAGAAUGCGCUACGCGUUGUAAACUUCUUUUCCAGGGGGAGAAUUUUCCUGUCGAGACAGGGAUUGACGGUACCCUGGGAAUAAGCAUCGGCUAACUCCGUGCCAGCAGCCGCGGUAAUACGGAGGAUGCGAGCGUUAUCCGGAUUUAUUGGGUUUAAAGGGUGCGUAGGCGGAUUGAUAAGUCAGUGGUGAAAUUCUGCAGCUUAACUGUAGACUUGCCGUUGAUACUGUUAGUCUUGAGUGUGGUCAAGGCAGGCGGAAUGUGUAAUGUAGCGGUGAAAUGCUUAGAUAUUACACAGAACACCGAUUGCGAAGGCAGCUUGCUGGGUCACUACUGACGCUGAGGCACGAAAGCGUGGGGAUCAAACAG
This 423-nucleotide ribosomal RNA is filed under the name uncultured bacterium. Its description in RNAcentral is "bacterial SSU rRNA". It matches the Rfam family "Bacterial small subunit ribosomal RNA", at positions 355 to 775 of the family's 1533-position model. The record is from RNAcentral.